This 899-nucleotide ribosomal RNA is filed under the name uncultured archaeon. RNAcentral's name for it is "bacterial SSU rRNA". It matches the Rfam family "Archaeal small subunit ribosomal RNA", at positions 1 to 878 of the family's 1478-position model. The record is from RNAcentral.
CUCCGGUGAUGCCGGCGGGACCCGACUGCUAUCGGAUUGAGAUUUAGCCAUGCGAGUCGAACGUUCCCCUGUUGCGGGGAGCGUGGCGUACGGCUCACUAACACGUAGUCAACCUGCCCUGGAGACGAGGACAACCCCGGGAAACUGGGAUUAAUCCUUGAUAGGUCAUCUCAUCUGGAAGGAGAGAUGGCUUAAAGGGGUACGCGGGCUUCUUCCGCGAAUUCGCUCCAGGAUGGGACUGCGUCCGAUCAGGCUGUUGGCGGGGUAAUGGCCCACCAAACCUGUAACCGGUACGGGCCUUGAGAGAGGUGGCCCGGAGAUGGACACUGAGAGAAGGGUCCAGGUCCUACGGGGCGCAGCAGGCGCGAAACCUUCGCAAUGCGCGAAAGCGUGACGAGGUUAAUCCGAGUGACUCCCGCUGAGGGGGUCUUUUGUCAGCUGUAAAUAGGCAGGCGAAUAAGGGGAGGGCAAGCCUGGUGUCAGCCGCCGCGGUAAUACCAGCUCCUCGAGUGGUCGGGGCGAUUAUUGGGCCUAAAGCAUCCGUAGCCGGUUCCGUAGGUCCUCUGUUAAAUCCAACCGCUCAACGGUUGACCUGCAGAGGAUACCGCGGGACUAGGAGGCGGGAGAGGCGGACGGUACUCCGCGUGUAGGGGUAAAAUCCUUUGAUCCGCGGAAGACCACCAGUGGCGAAGGCGGUCCGCCAGAACGCGCUCGACGGUGAGGGAUGAAAGCUGGGGGAGCGAACCGGAUUAGAUACCCGGGUAGUCCCAGCCGUAAACGAUGCUAGCUAGAUGAUUCAUUCGCAAGUCGCGAAUGAAGUGUCGCAGGGAAGCCGUUAAGCUAGCCGCCUGGGGAGUACGGUCGCAAGACUGAAACUUAAAGGAAUUGGCGGGGGAGCA